Molecule: small nuclear RNA, 164 nt
Organism: Echinops telfairi (small Madagascar hedgehog)
Lineage: Eukaryota; Metazoa; Chordata; Mammalia; Afrosoricida; Tenrecidae
Product: U1 spliceosomal RNA
Exons: 1
Source: RefSeq, a predicted model, not a curated record
AGACCUGGCAGGGGAGACACCAUAAUCAGGAAGGUGGUUUUCCCAGGGCGAGGCUCACCCAUUGCACUGCGGGUGUGUUGACCCCUGCGAUUUCCCCAAAUGCAGGGAAACUCGACUGCGUAACUUAUGGUAGUGGGGGACUGCGUCGUCCGCGCUCUCCCCUG